RNAcentral lists this ribosomal RNA (253 nucleotides) under uncultured bacterium. RNAcentral's name for it is "partial 16S ribosomal RNA". It matches the Rfam family "Bacterial small subunit ribosomal RNA", at positions 524 to 776 of the family's 1533-position model. The record is from RNAcentral.
UACGUAGGCAGCAAGCGUUGUUCGGAGUUACUGGGCGUAAAGGGUGUGUAGGCGGUUCUUUAAGUUUGCUGUGAAAUCUCCCGGCUUAACCGGGAGGGUGCGGUGAAUACUGAGGGACUAGAGUACGGGAGAGGAAAGUGGAAUUCCCGGUGUAGCGGUGAAAUGCGCAGAUAUCGGGAGGAACACCAGUAGCGAAGGCGGCUCGCUGGGCCAUUCCUGACGCUGAGACGCGAAAGCUAGGGGAGCGAACAGG